GACGAACGCUGGCGGCGCGCUUAACACAUGCCAGUCGAACGGAAAGGCCUGCUUUCCCUUGUGGAUUGCGGGUACUCGAGUGGCGAACGGGUGAGUAACACGUGAGUGAUCUGCCCCCAACUUGGGUAUAAGCCUGGGAAACUGGGUCUAAUUCCCGAUAGGACUGCAGGGUGGUGCCUGUGGUGGAAAACGAUUUUCUAGUGGUUGGGGAUGAGCUCGCGGCCUAUCAGCUUGUUGGUGGGGUAAUGGCCUACCAAGGCGGCGACGGGUAGCCGGCCUGAGAGGGUGGACGGCCACAUUGGGACUGGGAUACGGCCCAGACGCCUACGGGAGGCAGCAGUGGGGAAUAUUGCACAAUGGGCGGAAGCCUGAUGCAGCGACGCCGCGUGGGGGAUGACGGCCUUCGGGUUGUAAACUCCUUUCGACCGCGAGGAAGCCACCUGGUUGGAAGGGUGGUGACGGUAGUGGGAGAAGAAGCACCGGCUAACUACGUG
RNAcentral lists this ribosomal RNA (494 nucleotides) under uncultured bacterium. Its description in RNAcentral is "partial 16S ribosomal RNA". It matches the Rfam family "Bacterial small subunit ribosomal RNA", at positions 28 to 507 of the family's 1533-position model. The record is from RNAcentral.